RNAcentral lists this unclassified non-coding RNA (343 nucleotides) under soil metagenome. Its description in RNAcentral is "partial contains 5.8S ribosomal RNA, internal transcribed spacer 2, and large subunit ribosomal RNA". The stretch from base 1 to 120 matches the Rfam family "5.8S ribosomal RNA", at positions 35 to 154 of the family's 154-position model. The record is from RNAcentral.
GAUGAAGAACGUAGCGAAAUGCGAUAAGUAAUGUGAAUUGCAGAAUUCAGUGAAUCAUCGAAUCUUUGAACGCACAUUGCGCCCGCCAGUAUUCUGGCGGGCAUGCCUGUUCGAGCGUCAUUUCAACCCUCAGGACCCUUUGGACCUGGUGUUGGGGCUCGGCCGCUACCCCGCGGCCGUCCCCGAAAGAUAGUGGCGGUCUCGUUGUAGCGUCCUCUGCGUAGUAAUUACACCUCGCACUGGAACGCGGCGCGGCCACGCCGUUAAACACCCCACUUCUCAAGGUUGACCUCGGAUCAGGUAGGAAUACCCGCUGAACUUAAGCAUAUCAAUAAGCGGAGGA